This 1260-nucleotide ribosomal RNA is filed under the name Candidatus Phytoplasma sacchari. RNAcentral's name for it is "bacterial SSU rRNA". It matches the Rfam family "Bacterial small subunit ribosomal RNA", at positions 219 to 1484 of the family's 1533-position model. Lineage: Bacteria; Bacillati; Mycoplasmatota; Mollicutes; Acholeplasmatales; Acholeplasmataceae. The record is from RNAcentral.
UUAAAGAGGGGCUUGCGUCACAUUAGUUAGUUGGCAGGGUAAAGGCCUACCAAGACUAUGAUGUGUAGCUGGACUGAGAGGUUGAACAGCCACAUUGGGACUGAGACACGGCCCAAACUCCUACGGGAGGCAGCAGUAGGGAAUUUUCGGCAAUGGAGGAAACUCUGACCGAGCAACGCCGCGUGAACGAUGAAGUAUUUCGGUAUGUAAAGUUCUUUUAUUGAAGAAGAAAAAAUAGUGGAAAAACUAUCUUGACGAUAUUCAAUGAAUAAGCCCCGGCAAACUAUGUGCCAGCAGCCGCGGUAAUACAUAGGGGGCGAGCGUUAUCCGGAAUUAUUGGGCGUAAAGGGUGCGUAGGCGGUUUAAUAAGUCUAUAGUUUAAUUUCAGUGCUUAACACUGUCCUGCUAUAGAAACUAUUAGACUAGAGUGAGAUAGAGGCAAGUGGAAUUCCAUGUGUAGCGGUAAAAUGCGUAAAUAUAUGGAGGAACACCAGAGGCGUAGGCGGCUUGCUGGGUCUUUACUGACGCUGAGGCACGAAAGCGUGGGGAGCAAACAGGAUUAGAUACCCUGGUAGUCCACGCCGUAAACGAUGAGUACUAAGUGUCGGGAUUACUCGGUACUGAAGUUAACACAUUAAGUACUCCGCCUGAGUAGUACGUACGCAAGUAUGAAACUUAAAGGAAUUGACGGGACUCCGCACAAGCGGUGGAUCAUGUUGUUUAAUUCGAAGAUACACGAAAAACCUUACCAGGUCUUGACAUACUCUGCAAAGCUAUAGCAAUAUAGUGGAGGUUAUCAGGGAUACAGGUGGUGCAUGGUUGUCGUCAGCUCGUGUCGUGAGAUGUUAGGUUAAGUCCUAAAACGAGCGCAACCCUUGUCAUUAGUUGCCAGCAUGUCAUGAUGGGCACUUUAAUGAGACUGCCAAUGAAAAAUUGGAGGAAGGUGAGGAUCACGUCAAAUCAUCAUGCCCCUUAUGAUCUGGGCUACAAACGUGAUACAAUGGCUGUUACAAAGAGUAGCUGAAACGUAAGUUUAUAGCCAAUCUCAUAAAAGCAGUCUCAGUUCGGAUUGAAGUCUGCAACUCGACUUCAUGAAGUUGGAAUCGCUAGUAAUCGCGAAUCAGCAUGUCGCGGUGAAUACGUUCUCGGGGUUUGUACACACCGCCCGUCAAACCACGAAAGUUGGUAAUACUCAAAAACGGUAGCCUAACUUCUUCGGAAGAGGGAACCGUCUAAGGUAGGAUCGAUGAUUGGGGUUAA